This 468-nucleotide ribosomal RNA is filed under the name Triticum aestivum (bread wheat). RNAcentral's name for it is "partial small subunit ribosomal RNA". The record is from RNAcentral. Lineage: Eukaryota; Viridiplantae; Streptophyta; Magnoliopsida; Poales; Poaceae.
AUGCAAGGAGAAACAUGUAUUGGCACGAAUGUACAGAAACUGAGUCGUCGCCCAUCUCUUCAGACCGAUGGCUGCUAUGAAGUUCAUGAUAUUGAGGAUCUUCCUAGGGUUGGAAGACAGGUCAAAGGAUGUCCAUAUUUUGCUGCACAAACCAUGGCAAAAGCAGUCGAAUUGUCAGGAGAGCAAUGGACAUUGAUAUCACUGGCUCAAUUGUUAUUCUCGAUGAAGCGCAGUAAGCCCCUGAGUCUCCAAACCAAUUAUUCUGUUUCAGUGUCGAUCAAUGGUUUCCUUAGUUGCAAGACAAUGGCUCCCCAUGUUAUCGAUCCGGUGUUGCUGUGCAUGAGGACAUGGGGAAGGUGUAACAAGGCAGCGCUUGUGUUGCAGUGGAGUGGAGUCGGCCAUCUGGAUGUUUGCAGAUCAGUCGAAGAAGAGAGGAAGGAUCUUGAGGAAGAGUCAAGAACAAGGUGA